UAAGUUUGAUCCUGGCUCAGAAGGAACGCUAGCUAUAUGCUUAACACAUGCAAGUCAAACGUUCUUUUCGAGGAGCUGGGCAGAAGGAAAAAAUGCUCCUAGCUAAAGUUGUCUCGCCCUGCUUCGAAACUAUAGGGCGCGCUACAACUUUGACCUAACAGCCUCCGUUUGCUAGAAUCAAUUCCAGUUGAGAACAAAGUGGCGAACGGGUGCGUAACGCAUGGGAAUCUGCCGAACAGUUCGGGCCAAAUCCUGAAAAAAUCUCAAAAGCGCUAUUUGAUGAGCCUGCGUAGUAUUAGGUAGUUGUUCAGGUAAAGGCUGGCCAAGCCAAUGAUGCUUAGCUGGUCUUUUCAGAUGAUCAGCCACACUGGGACUGAGACACAGCGCAGACUCCCACAUGGGGGCAGCAGUGGGGAAUCUUGGACAAUGGGCAAAAGCCCAUCCAGCAAUAUCACGUGAGUGAAGAACGGCAAUGCCGCUUGUAAAGCUCUUUCGUUGAGUGCGCGAUCAAGACAGGACUCUAGGAGAAGCCACGGCAAACUCCAUGCCAGCAGCCGCGGUAAGACGGGGUAGGGGGGGAGAGGAGGGAGGGGCAAGUAUUCUUCGGAAUGACUGGGCGUAAAGAGCACGUAGGCGGUGAAUCGGGUUCAAAGUGAAAGUCGCCAAAAAGUGGCGGAAUGCUCUCGAAACCAAUUCACUUGUGUGAGACAGAGGAGAGUGGAAUUUUGUACAUAGGUCUACAAAGGAACGCCAAAAGCGAAGGUAGCUCUCUGGGUCCCUACCGACGCUGGGUGAGAAAGCAUGGGGAGCGAACAGGAUUAAAUACCCUCGUAGUACCUGCCGUAAACGAUGAGUGUUCGCCCUUGGUCUACGCGGAUCAGGGGCCCAGCUAAUGUGUGAAACACUCCGCUCGAAACUCAAAGGAAUUGAUAGGGGCCUGCACAAGCAGUGGAGCAUGUGGUUUAAUUCGAUAUAGCGCGCAAAACCUUACCAGCCCUUAACAUAUGAACAACAAAACCUGUCCUUAACGGGAUGGUACUGACUUUCACAUAGGUGCUGCAUGGCUGUCAUCAGCUUGCGUCGUGAGAUGUUUGGUCAAGUCCUAUAAUGAGCGAAACCCUCAUUUUGUGUUUCUGAGACAUGCACCUAAGGAGAAAUAUCCGAGGAGCCGAGUGAUGUGCCAGCGCUACUACUUGAUUGAGUGCCAGCACGUAGCUAUGCUUUCAGCAAGACUUUCACUAUUGGGAGCCGGUGCCUGUUGAAGCACUUUCACGUGUGAACCAAAGUCAUCUUGCUGAACUCAAGACCCACAGAGACCUACCUAUAGUGACGUCAAAGUACUAGUGAGCAUGGAGGUUUGGUUAGGUUUGGUUACGAUGGCGUCGAGUUGGUGGCGUAGGAAGACUCGGCAUAAAGGCCAGCCGCCCGGUGGUGCGGUACGUAGUGGUAAUAGUAUGUGCCCUGCUCUAAAACAAAGAAAAAGGUGCAUGCCACGCUUAUGAGGGACUGCUAGUGAGAUACUGGAGGAAUGUGGGGAUGACGUCAAGUCUGUAUGGCCGUUAUGGGCUGGGCCACACACAUGCUACAAUGGCAAUGACAAUGGGAAGCAAGGCUGUAAGGCGGAGCGUAUCCGGAAAGAUUGCCUUAGUUCAGAUUGUUCUCUGCAACUCGGGAACAUGAAGUUGAAAUCGCUAGUAAUCGCAGAUCAGCAUGUCGCAGUGAAUAUGUAACCGGGCCUUGUACACACCGCCCAUCACACCCUGGGAAUUGGUUUCACCCAAAGCAUCGAACCAAUGAUCACCCAUGACUUCUAUGUACCACUAGUGCCACAAGGGCCUUUGCUGGUCUUAUUGGCGCAUACCACUGUGGGGUCUUCGACUGGGGUGAAGUCGUAACUAGCUAGCCGUAGGGGAACCUGUGGCUG
RNAcentral lists this non-coding RNA (1924 nucleotides) under Panicum hallii var. hallii. Its description in RNAcentral is "bacterial SSU rRNA". It matches the Rfam family "Bacterial small subunit ribosomal RNA". The record is from RNAcentral. Lineage: Eukaryota; Viridiplantae; Streptophyta; Magnoliopsida; Poales; Poaceae.